This 122-nucleotide small nucleolar RNA is filed under the name Sorex araneus (European shrew). RNAcentral's name for it is "Small nucleolar RNA SNORA42/SNORA80 family (ENSSARG00000017079.1)". Lineage: Eukaryota; Metazoa; Chordata; Mammalia; Eulipotyphla; Soricidae. The record is from RNAcentral.
UCAAGAGAUAAAAGCUGAUCCACAUCCCCGUGGCCCCGUGCUCCGUGCAGAGGAACGGUGGCCCUGAACCAUCGCCUGGAUCUUGCCAGUGGGCUGCUGGCACUGAAGUGUGUCAUAGUGCA